UUAUCCAAUAAAAAAGUCCAAUUACUUCUUUAUCCUUAGCUCAGCUUUAGUAUUUUGCCAACUAGCUCUCUGCUACUAUUUUUUAAAUACGCUUUUUCUCUCACCUCUCAAUCUCUCUCCUCCACAGUCCUCAUCUCUCAAUCUAUCUCCUCAAUCUUAACUUCUCUCUCUAAAUUGUGCCGAACUGAUUGUUUCAUCUAUUUCAAUUCUACUUCUCUCAAUUUCCUCCUUGAUCUCAUCUCUUCUCUCUCCUCGCUUAUCUCCAUGCUUUAACAAGUAUGAUGAAGAUGAUGAUGAUUGAUGAAUUACUCUAGUUUUUUAUUAGGCUAGUUUUAUAUAAUUAUAUAUUUUUCAUCUUUUACAAUGUACCUCCAUUGAAAUUUACUCUGAGUUCUCCAUCAAAGCAGUGACAGACCUUUGUCUCCUUCAUUAGACCGGAUUUUAAGGGUGAAAGUGGUGGAGAUCGAGAAGAAUGUGGAUGUUUGUGAGGAAGUUAAAGGUCAACUCGGCUGAGUUGAGGAGGAGACUAAGAGCUUCUACCCAAGUAGUUGUUCUCAUAGUUGGGCUACAUCUAUUCUUCAAUUUAGGAGUAGGUUAUAGAUUUUUCAAUUAAAGAAAACAAUUUAGAAUGAAAAAAAAAAAGUUGAGAUGAAACUCUAAUUUUUUCUAAGGGUAUCCUUUUUUUGUUAAUAAAAUCCCCCUUUUCACUUGGAUUUAUUUAGUAUGCAUUUUGUUGAAUUUGGGUUCAUAAUAUUGUUGGUUUUGUAAUUGUUUAAAGGUGGGAUGUUUUAGUUUUUGCUAGCAGUGUAAAUUUUGACUGAUUUAGAUUUGUAUGGGUGGAGGGCAAGAUAUGCAUUAGAUUAGAUAAGGAAGGAUAGAGAAUGUUGGAUAUUGAUUGUUGGGCGCACUCUUGCAGAGAAAUGGUUAUGCAAUGGGGUGUGAAUUAUGUGGGUGACGUAGGAAGGUAAUUUCUUACCAUUUCUAUUUUGUGUGUUUGAUAUAUUUGAAUGUGAAGAUUGUGAACGGUUUUCUUAGUA
Long non-coding RNA from Chenopodium quinoa (quinoa), 1037 nucleotides. RefSeq lists it as uncharacterized. The record is from RefSeq and is a predicted model, not a curated record. NCBI's taxonomy places the organism in Eukaryota, Viridiplantae, Streptophyta, Magnoliopsida, Caryophyllales, Amaranthaceae. The transcript has 2 exons.